AACUGCUCUUAAAGAUAUUGGCUCAGCCGAGAACAGCUCGUGGAGUACCUCUUAGCACACACCCACAUGAACAAACUGUAAAGGUAGAGGCCAAGAACACCAACACCAGCUAGAACAAGCAAUUAUUUAACUCGGAACCAGCCUGUACACAAUGCCAGACCAAGCAAAAACAGGCUGCAACCUCCGCACUCCCUGACCAGUAGCCC
This 206-nucleotide long non-coding RNA is filed under the name Brassica napus (rape). Its description in RNAcentral is "long non-coding RNA (BNAP_LNC025685)". Lineage: Eukaryota; Viridiplantae; Streptophyta; Magnoliopsida; Brassicales; Brassicaceae. The record is from RNAcentral.